This 497-nucleotide ribosomal RNA is filed under the name uncultured bacterium. Its description in RNAcentral is "partial 16S ribosomal RNA". It matches the Rfam family "Bacterial small subunit ribosomal RNA", at positions 28 to 507 of the family's 1533-position model. The record is from RNAcentral.
GAUGAACGCUGGCGGCGUGCCUAAUACAUGCAAGUCGAGCGAACAGACGAGGAGCUUGCUCCUCUGACGUUAGCGGCGGACGGGUGAGUAACACGUGGAUAACCUACCUAUAAGACUGGGAUAACUUCGGGAAACCGGAGCUAAUACCGGAUAAUAUAUUGAACCGCAUGGUUCAAUAGUGAAAGACGGUUUUGCUGUAACUUAUAGAUGGAUCCGCGCCGCAUUAGCUAGUUGGGAAGGUAACGGCUUACCAAGGCAACGAUGCGUAGCCGACCUGCGAGGGUGAUCGGCCACACUGGAACUGCGCCACGGUCCAGACUCCUGCGGGAGGCAGCAGUAGGGAAUCUUCCGCAAUGGUCGAAAGCUUUACGGAGCAACGCCGCGUGAGUGAUGAAGGUCUUCGGAUCGUAAAACUCUGUUAUUAGGUAAGAACAAAUGUGUAAGUAACUAUGCACGUCUUGACGGUACCUAAUCAGAAAGCCACGGCUAACUACGUG